ACGGGUGAGUAACGCGUGGGAAUCUACCGUGCCCUGCGGAAUAGCUCCGGGAAACUGGAAUUAAUACCGCAUACGCCCUACGGGGGAAAGAUUUAUCGGGGUAUGAUGAGCCCGCGUUGGAUUAGCUAGUUGGUGGGGUAAAGGCCUGCCAAGGCGACGAUCCAUAGCUGGUCUGAGAGGAUGAUCAGCCACAUUGGGACUGAGACACGGCCCAAACUCCUACGGGAGGCAGCAGUGGGGAAUAUUGGACAAUGGGCGCAAGCCUGAUCCAGCCAUGCCGCGUGAGUGAUGAAGGCCUUAGGGUUGUAAAGCUCUUUCACCGGAGAAGAUAAUGACGGUAUCCGGAGAAGAAGCCCCGGCUAACUUCGUGCCAGCAGCCGCGGUAAUACGAAGGGGGCUAGCGUUGUUCGGAAUUACUGGGCGUAAAGCGCACGUAGGCGGAUAUUUAAGUCAGGGGUGAAAUCCCAGAGCUCAACUCUGGAACUGCCUUUGAUACUGGGUAUCUUGAGUAUGGAAGAGGUAAGUGGAAUUCCGAGUGUAGAGGUGAAAUUCGUAGA
This 557-nucleotide ribosomal RNA is filed under the name uncultured bacterium. RNAcentral describes it as "bacterial SSU rRNA". It matches the Rfam family "Bacterial small subunit ribosomal RNA", at positions 102 to 694 of the family's 1533-position model. The record is from RNAcentral.